This is an RNA transcript of Cucumis sativus (cucumber), 5231 nucleotides long. It is a transcript of the gene named helicase-like transcription factor CHR28, with no coding region annotated. NCBI's taxonomy places the organism in Eukaryota, Viridiplantae, Streptophyta, Magnoliopsida, Cucurbitales, Cucurbitaceae. The record is from RefSeq and is a predicted model, not a curated record. The transcript is spliced from 14 exons.
CUACAACACAACGGCCGUUAACUCAUCGUCGAUCUCAAAUUCCGCAAAGGAAAAGAAAAAGAAAAAGAAAACAAAAAGACCUCUUUGAGUUCUGGCGUUGAACGGAAACUUCAAACCUCAAACCCUACCUAGUACGGAGGGAGAGUGAGAUUACUUCUUCUCCAACUACAAUCUUCAACGUCUCGUGGUGGAGAACUUCUAAUUUGUUUUGAUAUUUGGAUUUGAACUUCUUUUCUUGGACUACGGGGAUAUCAGCUUAGGAUAAGAGUCGACAAACAUGCUGCGUCACUAUUGGAAUUGAAUUGUUGACACUAAAGUGUCUGAGAGAUGUUAUUAACAAAGAUAUCCCUGCUAAUGGUUCUGCUGCAUCUGAAAAGAUUUACAAUGCAGCAUGGCUAUGUGUUCGAUUAUUCAGACUAUCUUUGAAAAUUCAUUGAUAUAGCUUAUAGGCACUUCACAUUUUUUGGCUAAUCUUGUUGUACCUUCGUCCUAGUUUGUCAAAGAAGAGAGAUCUCACAGUUGAACCAGCAUGUCUGUGACUAACCUUAUAGAAAUUAGUUCAUCAGACAGUGAUGUAGAUCUAGAAUAUAUUAGUGACAGUGACGACGAUGUUGCACUAAAUAUUGGGGAAUCUAGUGGCAGUAGAAAGCUCCCUUAUUGGGCAUCCACAGAUUAUAGUCCAGGUCAAAGUAAUGUUAAUAACAGUCUGCAUUCUGGUUCUAAUGGUGACACUAGAGCCUCAAAUCAUCAUAUUGUCCUCACAGACGAUACCAAUUAUCUUACUGAAAAUGGGAAUACUGGUCUUCCUCGAACUGUGAAUUCUCGAAUUGCAACCACAGCCGGUGCAGAUUAUGAAAGAUUAUCUUCUCAACAGGCUUUUAAGAGGACCCUGCCUUAUACCUCUCAGUCAUAUGCACCCCUCACAAAAUCAAAUAACUUAGUCGACAAUGUGGGCAGCAGUCAAAGUCGUGAUGCCCCCAUCAGUUAUGAUUCAGGAAGGCCAAGUUCAACUACUGGCAGGUUUUAUGGGAGAGAAAUUUUUUUCAGAGGCAAUGGUGACGAUACCAUUAGUUCUGAGAACAGGGAUUAUAGAAUCCUCCCUGCGAGUUGGGCACCAGGGAAACCUAUUCCUUCACAGUAUCCAGGUGAACAUCCCCAUCGUCCUGGUUAUGGUGAAGAAAUGGUGGCUGGAGGUGAUGAGAGAUUGAUUUAUCAAGCAGCAUUGGAGGAUCUAAAUCAACCAAAACAAGAGGCUACUCUUCCUGAUGGUCUUCUGUCUGUUCCUCUUUUAAGACACCAGAAAAUUGCAUUAUCAUGGAUGCUACAGAAGGAAAAUAAAAGUCUGCAUUGUUUGGGAGGAAUUUUAGCGGAUGAUCAGGGCCUUGGAAAGACAGUUUCUAUGAUUUCACUCAUACAAUUGCAGAAGUCCAAUCAAUCAAAGGCAAAAUUAGAAGAUGGAAGCAAAACAAAAGCUGAAGCUUUGAAUUUGGAUGACGACGAUGAUAAUGGCACUGGCACUGGCACUGGCACUGCUGAUUCAGAUAAAAUGCAGCAGACUGGAGAGUCUGAUGACGUCAAAACAAUUCAAGAAGUGAAAACAACUAGAGCAAUCAGUAAGCGGAGACCAGCAGCUGGUACAUUGGUUGUGUGUCCUGCAAGUAUUCUCCGGCAGUGGGCCAGAGAACUAGAUGACAAAGUCCCUGAAGAAAAAAAACUUUCAGUUUUAAUCUAUCAUGGGGGAAGUAGGACUAGGGAUCCUGAUGAGCUUGCAAAGUAUGAUGUGGUUCUCACAACAUAUGCCAUUGUCACCAAUGAAGUUCCAAAACAGCCUUUAGUUGAUGAGGAUGAUGGUGAGGAAAAAAAUGGAGAUAGAUAUGGAUUAUCUUCUGAUUUUUCUGUCAACAAAAAGAGGAAAAAGACUUCUACCAGUAGUAAGAAGGGUAAGAAGGGCAGGAAAGGAACUGGUAUUUCCUUUGAGUGUGAUUCUGGCCCACUUGCAAGAGUGGGUUGGUUCAGGGUUAUUCUGGAUGAAGCUCAGACAAUAAAGAAUCACAGAACUCAAGUGGCUAGAGCCUGCUGUAGCCUUCGAGCCAAAAGAAGGUGGUGCUUAUCUGGAACACCUAUACAAAAUGCAAUUGAUGAUUUAUAUAGCUAUUUCAGAUUUCUGAGGUACGAUCCUUAUGCUGUCUAUAAAUCUUUCUACCAUACAAUCAAGGUUCCAAUUUCCAGAAAUUCAGUUACUGGGUAUAAGAAGCUUCAGGCUGUUCUAAGGGCAAUAAUGUUGCGACGAACUAAAGGCACAUUGAUUGAUGGGCAGCCGAUUGUCAAAUUGCCCCCCAAAACCAUACGGUUAACGAAAGUGGAUUUUUCUACAGAGGAGCGUGACUUUUAUACCCAAUUAGAAGCUGAUUCUCGCAAGCAAUUCAAGGCUUAUGCUGCAGCUGGUACAGUAAAGCAAAACUAUGCAAAUAUUCUGUUAAUGCUUCUACGCCUCCGCCAGGCUUGUGACCACCCACUUCUUGUAAAAGGGUACAAUACCGAUUCUGUGGGGAAGGAUUCUAUAGAAAUGGCAAGUAAGCUUCCUAAGGAUAUGCUGAUGAAUCUGAUAAAAUGCUUGGAGGCUUCUUUGGCCAUAUGCCGUGUCUGCGAGGAUCCGCCCGAGAAUCCUGUUGUUACCAUGUGUGGUCAUGUUUUCUGCUUCCAAUGCGUGUCUGAAUCCAUGACUGGUGAUGACAAUAUGUGCCCGGCACUUGGAUGCAAGGAACAAGUUGCUGCUGACGUUGUUUUCUCAAAAACUACCCUUCGUAAAUGUUUCUCUGAGGAUCUUGAUGGUGGUUCCACAAGUUUGGGAAUUCCUGAGAAAUCCCAAGUUGUUCAUAGUGAGUACAGUUCGUCCAAAAUUAGGGCUGUUCUUGAGAUUCUGCAGAAUAAUUGCAAAGCAUCCAUUUCAACUUCUGAACAAGGGGUCUCCGUUGGAUGCAAUGGAAGUUCUCUACAGUCUGAAGAUGAAUGCAUUGAGAUCUGUGAUUCUGAUGUUAAUAAUACAAAGCACGCAUCUCCAUGUCCUCCAACUGAAGAACCUGUAAAGACAAUUGUUUUCUCCCAGUGGACCAGCAUGUUAGAUUUAGUAGAAUUGUCACUAAACGAAGCUUGCAUUCAAUAUAGGAGACUUGAUGGCACAAUGUCUCUGGUUUCAAGAGACCGUGCUGUGAAAGAUUUCAACUCCGACCCUGAGAUCUCUGUUAUGUUGAUGUCAUUGAAGGCAGGAAAUUUAGGUUUGAACAUGGUUGCAGCAUGCCAUGUUAUCUUAUUGGAUCUUUGGUGGAAUCCAACUACUGAGGAUCAGGCUGUAGACCGAGCACAUAGAAUUGGACAGACUCGUCCUGUUACGGUGUCAAGGAUUACUGUAAAAGACACCGUAGAAGAUAGGAUACUAGCACUGCAGCCCAUACAUACGAGCCAUGACUCUGCCUCCAAGAGCUGACUCCUUUUUGGUGCCUUCAAAGCCACUUGAGUAGGAGGGAACUGGGAGGGCAUUGCUUCUGUGCUCUAGAGAAUCCACCCACACCAAGGGAAUAUGGGAAGGGAAGACCCACUCUAAUAUACCGAAGGAGUAAAUUAGAGUGGAUCUUUCUGCAGGUUGUAAGCCCUUCCAUUCCAUCAACUUCUCCAAGUUCUUUAUGACUUUCAAGGGAACACUAAGAAGGGAGCAGUAGUCCCUUGAUGAAGGAAGAGAAGAGAAAAAUGGUUGCAUCAGCAUUUGGUGAAGAUCAAAGUGGAGGUUCUGCUUCCCGCUUGACAGUUGAAGAUCUCAGAUAUCUCUUUAUGGUUUGAAUUGUCAAGCAGCUCAGCUUCUUCGUCUGGAAGUUUUAGUUAGCUUACACUUCUGGAAAAUUUUGUAGGGAUCAGAAUAACUUCUGGUUCUGGUAAUUUAAGGGUGAGUGACACUGGUUGCACAUAUUUUGCACACCAGGAGUGGCCCAUGGGAUGGACUGGGUCAGCAUAUACUUACGGUAAUAUAAAUGAGUUUUUGUGGCCCUAGUAACAGCAUUUUCUUUUUCUUUCUUCCUUUGGGAUUUCAGUGAAGUGCCAAGAUAUCUUGAUAGGCCUGCCUGUAAAUAUCCAAGUUGAUUUCUAUUGUAUAGAAAAUGUUUAGUUUUAGUUGGGUUUCUUUUUCCUCUUUAAUUUAUUUUGACAUCACGUCUAAAUUCGGUAAUGAUCAUCUCUCAAAAGACCAGGUAUAUAUUCAAGACGUGUGCUGUAUAGAAUAUUGCAGGUUUCAUUGUGUUGCUUAGAAAAUAUGACUAUUGAAUGCUGAGGAUUGAAGAAGAGGAUGGAGUAAAGAUAGCACAUUAAGGAUUUCAAAUCGUGUCUGUCAAUCAAGGUACAUGUUACCGCAGCUUAUCUUGUUCUUCUUUAAAGAUGUCAUGGAUUCACAUUAACUGCAGUUCAGUGGGCUCAAGAAAACGUGUUAUGCUUGUUUAUGGAUAAGUUGUUUCAGACUUGUGACCCAAUCUAGUUGCUUUGAUCGAACUCUGAUUCUGGAAAAAUCUAUGGCAACUUAUCUGUGAUGUAUUGGGAACCUCAGGCUCGAACUGAGGAUUUGUAUGUAUAUUAUUUUUAUUUACAUAUGUUGUAUAUUUAGCUGUUUCGAACUCACUAGAGACUUACUGUAAUUUUUCUUUCUACUAGUUCAAGGCUUUCUAUGUAUGAAUGAAAUGUUACUGAGUUUUUUUCCCCUUUCUACAUGGUGCGAGAAUGCCUUGAGUUUUUUUUCCUAGAAGCUUCGGGCUUUCUUUCUACCAAAUUUUAGGGCUUGAAGUUGGGUAUCAUUUUGAGAUAGCAACUAGCAUGAACAUCUCAAGAUUCAUCUGCACAAUUUGACUACUAGAGGCGAGACAUGUGAAGCUUACAUAUCACUGUACUACUGCUACCUUUAUCCCACAUAGUAGGGCAAUUUAUUCCUGGCUGUAAAACUCUGCGGUCAUCAUGGUUUGACCUACAUGUAUGCUUGAUUUGUACCACUUGCUUACUCUUGUUCUAUAGGUGUUCUUGAUUUGAUUAGAAUAUGGUUUGAAAGAGGGUCAUUAUGUAAUAGGCGUUUUGGAACUUUGUCUAAACUGGGUUUGUGUUGUUAGUUGACAUACCAUUUUGAUUUCAUUAUCGAACAGAACAUGUAACCAGAUGUGCAAUGAGGCUCUAGUGAUAUCCAAAAGCACUAAAUUCACGUC